Long non-coding RNA from Suricata suricatta (meerkat), 1389 nucleotides. RefSeq lists it as uncharacterized. The transcript has 2 exons. The record is from RefSeq and is a predicted model, not a curated record. Lineage: Eukaryota; Metazoa; Chordata; Mammalia; Carnivora; Herpestidae.
GUCAGCGCCCGGCUGCUCCUCUGCACAGCGGACGGUUCCCCAGCCCGCGCCCCCCAGUCUCCCUAAAAGCUGUGUGCGGUGUGCAGAUUCGAGCUCGAAUUCUCCGCGCUCUAUCACGCCCCUGUCCUAACUUGAAGGGCUACGAGAAGGGCAGGACGAGCGUCUAGACGGGCACGUCCCCUCAGUGAGUUUACACGACUUGCUAGUCCCUACUGCUCUCUCCCUACAUGCGAUAAAGGGCAAGAGUACACAAUAUCGGGCUGCAGUUUCAGAACUGACCUUUCUCCGUUCUGAAAACCAGUGCAUGUGCGCGCCGCCGGGCACCAGCCCUUGGGCGAGUCCCAGCUUACUCCUCCUCCGGGGAAGGGGAAGCCUGGGCCACCGGGCUCCGCGACCAGCUAGCGACAGCUGCCCCAGGUGUCGAAGUGUGCAUGAGGACCCCAGUUCUACUAGUCUUUCGAAAGACGUUAAGUAAGGUGCCUAAGUCAACACAGCAUUGGAAGUCAGGUGGAAGGCAGGUCUCUAUGUCUCCAGAGCCUGCAAACUGAAGUGUAUGCGUAGUGGUUGGAGAAACUAAGAUCUGGGGGUGUGAAUUCAACAUCACUCCAGAGUCGCCUGCCUGCGCGGACGGCACAUUGAACCAGACUCUGAAAUCCCCCUGGGGCCGAAGCUGCCCGCAGUCGCUCCAGGAAUAAGUGGACUUACUGUGGCACCUGCGGAAAUGGAACUAACAUGGUGAUUGAACCAACAACAACAAUAAUACACAAUCAGAAGACGGAUAAGAUGAUUGGAGUCCGAGGGGCAGUCCUGGUGAUACCAUCUACGGCCUAACAGCAUGUUUGCAAAAGCACAGUCAGCUGGUAUGAAAUCAGGAUGUUCCAACAUUCAAAUAAGAAAGCAAGAGAUGGAGAGAAUGCGGCUUCAUGAGGACACAGAACAAGUCGGCGGUGGCGACGGGGCACAGAGGAGGGAGAACAAAGUCGGCCGGCGGUGAGGGAACACCACCAGAGGGCGCAACAAUCGUGAGUGAGGACAGGCUCCUGAGUGAGAGAUGGCUUUGUUCCUCUCGCGCCCACCUGCCGUCUUGUGCCUUCAGGUUCCGCUGGACGCGCCCGGCGCAAGGCCUGCCUCUUCCGCCACAGGACACCGCCACGCCGUGUCCACCAAAGUACUGAGUGAGGAAAGUGGGGGGCGUGAGGGGCUCACCUACCAGAAAACGAACGCGGUGUUGGAAAGAGAAUGCAGAUUUUAGGUUCUUUAUGCCAAGGACUCCUUAUCACAGUGAUAAAAACCGUAUAAACUAACAGAUUCAGUGGUGAAAAUGCCAAAGAAAGAAUAAGGUAAAACAUUAAAAUUCUGAAUAAAAUUUUCAGAUUGUCCUACUAAUAA